RNAcentral lists this microRNA precursor (102 nucleotides) under Marmota monax (woodchuck). Lineage: Eukaryota; Metazoa; Chordata; Mammalia; Rodentia; Sciuridae. The record is from RNAcentral.
AGUGGAACUGUUAGAUCAUAUGGUAGAUCUAAUAUUAGCAUUUUGAGGAUCUUCCAAACUGCUCUCCAAGAUGGUUUGUCAAUUUACAUUCCCACCAAUAGU